GACGAACGCUGGCGGCGCGCUUAACACAUGCAAGUCGAACGGAAAGGCCUGCUUUCCCUUGUGGAUUGCGGGUACUCGAGUGUCGAACGGGUGAGUAACACGUGAGUGAUCUGCCCCCAACUUGGGUAUAAGCCUGGGAAACUGGGUCUAAUUCCCGAUAGGACUGCAGGGUUGUGCCUGUGGUGGAAAACGAUUUUCUAGUGGUUGGGGAUGAGCUCGCGGCCUAUCAGCUUGUUGGUGGGGUAAUGGCCUACCAAGGCGGCGACGGGUAGCCGGCCUGAGAGGGUGGACGGCCACAUUGGGACUGAGAUACGGCCCAGACUCCUACGGGAGGCAGCAGUGGGGAAUAUUGCACAAUGGGCGGAAGCCUGAUGCAGCGACGCCGCGUGGGGGAUGACGGCCUUCGGGUAGUAAACUCCUUUCGACCGCGAGGAAGCCACCUGGUUGGAAGGGUGGUGACGGUAGUGGUAGAAGAAGCACCGGCUAACUACGUG
RNAcentral lists this ribosomal RNA (494 nucleotides) under uncultured bacterium. RNAcentral's name for it is "partial 16S ribosomal RNA". It matches the Rfam family "Bacterial small subunit ribosomal RNA", at positions 28 to 507 of the family's 1533-position model. The record is from RNAcentral.